Molecule: long non-coding RNA, 667 nt
Organism: Neopsephotus bourkii (Bourke's parrot)
Lineage: Eukaryota; Metazoa; Chordata; Aves; Psittaciformes; Psittacidae
Exons: 3
Source: RefSeq, a predicted model, not a curated record
UCAUCUCUGCCAGCUUGUAGUUCUUGUCUAGCAUGGCCAAGCGGGCUCGCACCAGAUAAUGGUCUGUACCAUCCCCACCCUGCAGACAACAUCAAUUAGCUUACUCAGUUUGCUGAGUGAAGGAAUGGGCUCUGGAAUGAUACAAGGGAGGUGAUUGCAGGUGGGGUCUGUGUCAUUACAGAAACAAAAGAAGACAGUUGAGAAUCACAGAAGUGACAAGACAGGAGCAGUAUGGAAUGAGUAGCCAGAAGAGGGACCUGGCAAGCAUGCCAUAUUGCCACACUUUCCCAGCUGCGCCUGCCUCACCCUCAUCUUCUUGUCCCUGAAGAGCAGUUUGUGGCCUGUUUCAUUCAGCUCCAGCCAGUCAAUCUUGCUGUCAUGGCUGAUGGUGCCAGUGUUGUAGCCACCAACAAGGUCCACUUGGGAAGGAAAGACAGGAAACAGUGGUUAUGAUUUAUAUAACUUGACAGUCCACACACUGAGCUUGUUCUGUACCUGGCAUGUGGAAAAGGCAAGUAUGGGGAGGAAGCAGGUGAGGAUCUGCAUGGAGAGGGUAAGUCCAGGAAAGUGCUGAGAAACAGGGUAUUCCAGAAGUGUAGAUGACACUUUCUCUGCUGCUGCACACACAGCUUUACUCACCAUUCAUGAGUAAUACCUUGUCCCAUCC